This is a non-coding RNA of Acanthosepion pharaonis, 113 nucleotides long. The record is from the annotation of a GenBank genome assembly. NCBI's taxonomy places the organism in Eukaryota, Metazoa, Mollusca, Cephalopoda, Sepiida, Sepiidae.
UAUGGCCGCAUCAGGUUGAAAGCUCUGGUUUCCGUACAAUCACUGAAGUUAAGCAACGUUGAGCCUGGUUUAUACUUAGAGGAGUGACCACUUGGAAUUAUCAGUAACUGUAA